AGAGGGGGCGGUGUUUGUAGGUAUUCACGAGGGCCUUCCUCCGCGGCUUCGGGACAAAUUGGACCCGAGAUUAAAGGACCGGAGUUUAACUCGAGGUGACCGCGUUCGUAUGCAAAUGGAAUCUAUAAAACUCUGCUUUCCGGGUUUCCCAGAGCACAAUCCGGAUUUUGCAGUUUCCGCUGCAGAGCCCACCUACUACUGCCACCAGGUGGCGCGCGGCCAUCAGCGUCUGGGCUUGCCCCGGGAGUCUGCCUUCAGCGACCGUCUCUGUAAAGGGCUCAUCGUGGCUGCCUCCCAAGGUCUAACCAGGCUCUACCUGGUCUGUUCCAAGACAAAGAACAAGAACACUGAUUCCUUGCCCGCCUCUAGUCUCCCGGGUUAUGCCGCAGCUUCUUCACUGGCUGCCCACUCCCCAGCUUGUCUCCCACCCGGACUCCCACCCCGCCUUACCAAUCCGUCGGCUUGUCUACGUCAUUGCUUGCUUAUUAAUUUUUAAGUCCUUAUACUGGCAUUCGCACUCCUGCCUGAUGUGACCCCUUCCACAUUUCUCAUCACACUCCUUCCCUCACCUGCUUGGCAGGAUGUUGUGUGAUCCGUCCCUGUAUUUACGGGUUGAGUGGCUGUACCUUACCAGCACUGGUUAACCUGUACUGCAUCCUUAAUCUGUAACUGCUACUGUUCUGCGGAGAAGGCAAUGGCACCCCACUCCAGUACUCUUGCCUGGAAACUUACGUGGAUGGAGGAGCCUGGUGGGCUGCGGUCCAUGGGGUCGCUAAGAGUCGGACAUGACUGAGCGACUUCACUUUCACUUUUCACUCUUAUGCAUUGGAGAAGGAAAUGGCAACCCACUCCAGUAUUCUUGCCUGGAGAAUCCCAGGGACGGAGGAGCCUGGUAGGCUGCAGUCCGUCGGGUCUCACAGAGUCGGACACGACUGAAGUGACUUAGCAGCAGCAGCAGCAGCUACUGUUCUGAGAGUUUGACAUUAACUCCGUGUUCUCUAAACCUCACAUCUGCUUUAUGAGGAGCUUUAGCUCCAAUAUUGCCCCUAUCAUAUACUGACGAAAUCAUCCGUCGGUGAUGGGCAUUCCAAACCCAAUCGGUCAAACACCAGAACUUGAAUGCUUGGCUCCUUCACACUGUUGGCUUCACCCAGUCCACUCCCAAACUCUUAUUCAUCUUUCAAGAUCCUGUUCAAAUAUCCUCUGUUGGAUAUUCAUAUCUCCCACCAGGGUACACC
Molecule: long non-coding RNA, 1238 nt
Organism: Bos taurus (domestic cattle)
Lineage: Eukaryota; Metazoa; Chordata; Mammalia; Artiodactyla; Bovidae
Source: Ensembl